AAAUACAACGGUAUGUUUUUGGCUGGCAGGGCCAAGGAAGGCCAGAAAGCCAAUUUUCUAGUUCCUAACUCAGCAUCACUCACAAAUAUUUGGCCUUGUAAAAGAGAUGUGACACCCUAAUGAACCAAAUCCUUACCUAUGCCUUUACCUUUCAGAAGAAAAAAUCCUUAUGACCUUCACUGGCGGGAUAAUCACAGACCCACAACCAGGAAGUAAAAUCCUUAAAGCAGGGACUAUAUUUAUAAACCUCUUUGGGUUUUGCAAGCCGAGAGACACUUGAGAGGGACUGCUCUGAAUGCCUGGCUCUAUCUUUGCGAUGGUGAAUAAAAGAAGCAAUGUACGCUUUGUUAACGAUGGUCUUGUGAGGAACAUGUUUAAAGCGCUCUAGCAUGUUGUAAAAUCAUGUCUGUUGAUCUCUGAAAUAAGGAAUCGUAACAGAAACAAAAUUUAAUAUGAAAUACAUCAGUGGACUGCUGAUGAUUCAUAUAACACAUGCACUAAGCGUAUGUUAGCUUGUUUAAUACCUGCAGCAAUUCCACGAUGUGUUAAUAACUCCAGUGGACAAAUGAAGAAACGGGAUUAAGACUCUACAUCUAGUCAGGGCAAAGCUACUCCUCGGACCCAGGUCUCUCAGAGAUGGUCAUACUCUCUAGCUAACUCACAAGAAACUGAUGAAUAUGUGAAAAAAUGUUGACUAUCUGUAGCGGAGGAUAUCCCUUUCCAGGGAACAGAAAUACCCUUUCUCCUAUCCUCAACAACUCUUCCCUGGUAUCACAGGAUCUGAGAAGCUGUCAUUAUUUAGAAAUCUGCAGAGCGAGACUGAAUAGUAUCAGAAGACGCUCCACGCAGACCAUGAUGCAUUUAUUUAAGUAGCUGAAUGCUUGGCGGCAGCCUCUUGUCCUCUUCCAAGUCUCUCGGAGCCGUCUCGCCUUCCCUCCUCAAGUGCAUCUAUCAUCCAUUGAUGUCCGUUGCCUCCUCACACUGACACGUAGUAGAUGCUCACACUUUGGAGCAAUAAGUUCAUUUUACUGGAACCGUAUCUGAACAUAUUAGCAUCUCACCCACUGUGGCUGUUCCAUAAAAUGCCAAAUGAUAAGAAGAGCUGGGAUUUGGGACUUUUCUUCUGCGGUUGUGAAACUUGGAAGCAAUCCAGCUGUCAAGUCAAAGACAAACUUCACCUGUGCUCGUUCAGAUCCAUCACGCCUGCGAAACGGGAAGAUAAGGUUACACCCAGUGAGGUGCUGAAACAUGGGAAAUCGAACCAACCCAAGGGCCGCUUUAAUUAAAGCAGAGCUCGGCCGAGCGAGGCUUAUCAGCAAGGGACCUGAGACUCCCCCAAUGUGUGCAGCUCAGGAUCAAACCCAGUCAGCCCUCACCCGUGGCUGAGAGGCACCAGAAGCCCCGUGUGAAGCACAACCUGAACUUGGCUGGCACCGGCCCAAACGCCUGCAACGGACUUUGAUCAUGUAGCCGUAAAUGCCACAGGAUUUCGGGCCAAACUGAAGCUCAGCGACUCUCAUGAGCAAUGACAAAAAGUGGAGAUCAGAGAAAAGUAAGAAAGGGCCGAAACUUCAAUCACAUGCCAAGGACAUAACGUUGUGUCGAGAAGCGGUCAACGCCUCCCAAACUGUGCCUGAGCCUCGGGACAGAACAGAAGCAUCCAGAUCUCCCUCAUGGAUAUUUUGUCUUUUCACAUUUCACAUGGUCUUGUUAUGAAGUUCUUGAGCACCUGUAAAUAGCUUUUCCUAUAGUACGAUUUCUUCCUCUUGGGCAUUUAUACUCUCCCUGCCAGAGAAUUCUGAUGUGGUCUAGAUUCUGGACAAACACGAUUUGUUUCUCUCUGGUGUGACGGAGCUGAAACCGAGCCCUGCGGUGGGAAGGCUGUUCUCAUGGCAAGAG
Mirounga angustirostris (Northern elephant seal) is the source of this 1899-nucleotide long non-coding RNA. RefSeq lists it as uncharacterized. The record is from RefSeq and is a predicted model, not a curated record. The transcript has 2 exons. NCBI's taxonomy places the organism in Eukaryota, Metazoa, Chordata, Mammalia, Carnivora, Phocidae.